AUUUUGGAUGGCUGUUUGAAUGAGAACCUACUUUUUUUUGUUUUUGGUGAGGUUAAUGUGAAACCAAUGUGUCUGUUGUGCCAGAAGACUAUUGCUGUGUGUGUUAAAGAAGGCUGACUUAAAAACGCCAUUAUGAAACCGCUCGCCUGGACUAUCAUACCCGAUUGUGAGAGCUUAGAAAAGAUAAGGUGCAUAAACUUGUUGCAAGUUUUCGUGAACAGCAAAACGUGUUUGGCUACAAUUAGAAAUAUACUCAACAAAUGCAGCGAUUGUGAUUAGGCGGUUUUGUUUUGCAAGGGUAUUAGCUGUUCCCUUUUAUUGACAUUCAUCAUUACGGAUAUUCAGUUAAUUUCGGAUUGAAAACCACGUUCAGAUUUUUUAUAGUAUAACUUUAAUUGUAUAAUUGAUGCUUGUUGGUGAUUGUCGAACAGCACACGGCGCUAAACCACGAAGCCGAGUUUAAUUGCCCCACACGUGUUCUAAAUUGAGUGAACUGAUAAUUAUUUUGGAACCAAUCAUUGAAUUGGCUAAUUGUCACCAAAAAGGACACCUGUGAAUUCGCGUUGUCUUUUGAUCAAAUAUUACGGGAGCAGGAUGCAGCGAGAAACCUGCAGCGAAGGAGGAUGUGAAUUAUAUUUAGCUACUUUGUGUUUGUUUUAUGUUAUUCUACGUUUUCGACUUUUUUUUUUUAAGUAAACAAGUUACGCGCUUUCCUUGACUGAAUUCGGCGUCAAUGAAGAAUAUCUAAUGUGUCUGGAAACUCUCUCCGAAAAAGGCUCUGAUACCCUGACCAUGCAGUGCAGCUCUGGAGGGUAAUGGACACUGCAGUUGCAGGAGGCCGUGUCUGUUGGGUUUACCAGUCCUCCUCAUUCUGGAAAAGACAGGUGCUGUGGCCGAAGUCCAUGGGAGGAGAAGAUUUCAGUGGUGAUCGAUGAGACAGGCUGGCUUGGGUCGGCCUGGGUGUUCUUGCAUCACAGCGCAACAGCGACCCCUGUAGACUGGCCGGGCGCCUGCAGGCUAGCCUGAAAACAUCGGUUAUGUAUAGAACAUAUUAGGAGGCUGUGUGGUCCAGUGGUUAAAGAAAAGGGCUUGUAACCAAGAUAUCCCCGGUUCAAAUCCCACCUCAGCUACUGACUCACUGUGUGACCCUGAGCAAGUCACUUCACCUCCUUGUGCUCCGUCUUUCGGGUGAGAUGUAAUUGUGUUGAAGAUCAGUACUAUCUGACUGUCCUAUUCAUGGGAACCAGCUCGGCCUCAGUGAUGUUUGGGAUGUUAACUGACAAUGCAGUACACUGUAUCAAAGCAUACAGAGCAGCACUGAAAUGUGUCAUGCCCAACAGUGUAAAGUGACAUGUCUGUCACAAUCAAUCCGAUAGGCGAGACAUGGGAGCAUUUUCACUUUAGCGAUGUGGCAUCUUUAGUUACUUGGAUGAAGUCUUCAGAAAGCGAAGAUGGGUUGCUUUUCUGAAGUCAAAGAUGUGCACACCACAAAAGUCUGUCCCCCUGAAGCAAUACCUACAAGAUGAAAUAGCUGGUUUCAGGCAGUAAAAUACCAUGCAGAGCACAUUUGAUCACUACCAGGACUUUUUUGAAAGAAAAAUCAGCACAGGCUGUGACAAACCUUCUGAUGUUACUUAAGUCAGGAGAAAUUGACUUGCUGAAAUUUGACAGCUUUCAUGUCUGAAGCUGGUAACAGCCCUGACCAUAUUUUGAGGGUACCCAGCACCCUACAGCUGUCUCAGCUUUCAACAUCAUGGAAGACCUGGGGUCUAUUGAAUUGUGGAACAGCCAAAACCUGUGGGUGUGGUGAAGAAACUAACACUUUUGGAUGACCUUACCAUGAGAGAAGAGAAAUAUCCUGGACAAUCUACAUGAGCUUGCUUUUUUACCAAAUUCUCCAAACGGUGGGAUGUCCAUCCUGCAAAAGAAGUGUUUUGACUAAUGUGUGUGUUUUGAUCCCAGGCCGACUCCAGCCAUGCAACAAAACGGUGAUCAGUACAGAAGCCGACACCUCUUGCCCACCCCUCACCAGAGCUGUGUGUGAACAAUGGGUGGUUCUACGCAACACUCUGAAUGAGCCCAUCCCUGAUCCACUGGAUCUUUCAACUUACUGGAAGGUCAUGAAGGGAAGAGUGCCCAAAGUAGCAGAGGUUGCCCUACCUUGAAUCUCCCCUGUUACCUCUGUAGACAGAGAACCUUUAUUAAAUAUAAAACUUUACUUGGAAGAGAGGGAGUCACUUUCUGAGGAAAACAUGAAAAAGCUAAACUGUUAUGUACCACAAUGGAGAUGUCUGCCAGAGAUGGUAAAAAUAAUUACCUUUUAAGUUAAUCAAUUUGCAAUGUUGCCACCAAGCAACAAACUGUUAAUUUGAUAGUUUAUAUUUCAUUUGAAAUUUAAUAUAAGCAUUCCUUCAGAAUAUAGGAAGCAAGAAAGUACUGAGUAAUUUAGAAUGGUACCAAGAACUGCUGCAAGGAUUAAUUUUCUGUUCAGUAAAUUCAUAUAAAUAUUAAAAUUGACAGAGGCUCUUACUUCUGUGGACUUGUUACUGUUCAAUUAUGUCAGCUUGGACAUAUUACCGAGUGCUACUUUUAAAGUGACUUAAAGUUUACCAUAUACUGUACCUGCAAUACCUAAUUACAAAAUACUUUAAAUUAUAAAAGAUACAAAGCAGCUAUAUUUGUUAGACACACAGAUCUGGGCCAACCAUCUUGCAAGCUACAGCCGUGCGCGCGCCGCUGCCAGGGUGAAAUACUUCUCUGAAAUCAUAACUAUGGGACACGGUAAACCCAAUGUUCUCUUUUAAGACCAUUGAGCAAAUCCUACAUCCAUCCAGACACCGACAGAUCCAUCUCCCAUUCAUCCUCUCCUCUUCCCUGUCAUGAUUUUUCCUCUUUCAGAACAAAAC
Long non-coding RNA from Acipenser ruthenus (sterlet), 2906 nucleotides. RefSeq lists it as uncharacterized. The record is from RefSeq and is a predicted model, not a curated record. The transcript is spliced from 5 exons. Lineage: Eukaryota; Metazoa; Chordata; Actinopteri; Acipenseriformes; Acipenseridae.